Molecule: ribosomal RNA, 267 nt
Filed under: uncultured prokaryote
Description: partial 16S ribosomal RNA
Rfam family: Bacterial small subunit ribosomal RNA
Source: RNAcentral
UACGUAGGUGGCGAGCGUUGUCCUGAUUUACUGGGCGUAAAGGGAGCGUAGGCGGACUUUUAAGUGAGAUGUGAAAUACCCGGGCUCAACUUGGGUGCUGCAUUUCAAACUGGAAGUCUAGAGUGCAGGAGAGGAGAAUGGAAUUCCUAGUGUAGCGGUGAAAUGCGUAGAGAUUAGGAAGAACACCAGUGGCGAAGGCGAUUCUCUGGACUGUAACUGACGCUGAGGCUCGAAAGCGUGGGGAGGCGAACAGGAUUAGAUACCCGU